This 253-nucleotide ribosomal RNA is filed under the name uncultured bacterium. Its description in RNAcentral is "partial 16S ribosomal RNA". It matches the Rfam family "Bacterial small subunit ribosomal RNA", at positions 524 to 776 of the family's 1533-position model. The record is from RNAcentral.
UACAGAGGUCUCAACCGUUGUUCGGAUUCAUUGGGCGUAAAGGGUGCGUAGGCGGUCGCGUAAGUCGGAUGUGAAAUCUCAGGGCUCAACCCUGAAACUGCAUUCGAUACUGCGUGGCUAGGGUACUGGAGAGGAGACUGGAAUUUACGGUGUAGCAGUGAAAUGCGUAGAUAUCGUAAGGAAGACCAGUGGCGAAGGCGAGCCUCUGGACAGUUACCGACGCUGAGGCACGAAGGUCAGGGGAGCAAACGGG